UACGGAGGGUGCAAGCGUUGUCCGGAUUUAUUGGGUUUAAAGGGUGCGUAGGCGGAAGAUUAAGUCAGUGGUGAAAGCCCACAGCUCAACUGUGGAACUGCCAUUGAUACUGGUUUUCUUGAAUUCAGUUAAGGUAGGCGGAAUUGAUGGUGUAGCGGUGAAAUGCAUAGAUACCAUCAGGAACACCGAUUGCGAAGGCAGCUUACUGGGCUUGAAUUGACGCUGAGGCACGAAAGCGUGGGGAGCGAAC
This 250-nucleotide ribosomal RNA is filed under the name uncultured bacterium. RNAcentral's name for it is "partial 16S ribosomal RNA". It matches the Rfam family "Bacterial small subunit ribosomal RNA", at positions 524 to 773 of the family's 1533-position model. The record is from RNAcentral.